RNAcentral lists this ribosomal RNA (531 nucleotides) under uncultured bacterium. RNAcentral's name for it is "bacterial SSU rRNA". It matches the Rfam family "Bacterial small subunit ribosomal RNA", at positions 777 to 1304 of the family's 1533-position model. The record is from RNAcentral.
AAUAGAUACCCGGGUAGUCCACGCCGUAAACGAUGAGUGCUAAGUGUUGGAGGGUUUCCGCCCUUCAGUGCUGCAGCUAACGCAUUAAGCACUCCGCCUGGGGAGUACGGUCGCAAGACUGAAACUCAAAGGAAUUGACGGGGGCCCGCACAAGCGGUGGAGCAUGUGGUUUAAUUCGAAGCAACGCGAAGAACCUUACCAGGUCUUGACAUCUCCUGACCUCCCUAGGGAUAGGGCCUUCCCCUUCGGGGGGACAGGAUGACAGGUGGUGCAUGGUUGUCGUCAGCUCGUGUCGUGAGAUGUUGGGUUAAGUCCCGCAACGAGCGCAACCCUUGUCCUUAGUUGCCAGCAUUUAGUUGGGCACUCUAAGGAGACUGCCGGCUACAAGUCGGAGGAAGGUGGGGAUGACGUCAAAUCAUCAUGCCCCUUAUGACCUGGGCUACACACGUGCUACAAUGGAUGGUACAAAGGGCUGCGAGACCGCGAGGUUUAGCCAAAUCCCAAAAAACCAUUCUCAGUUCGGAUUGCAGG